GUGCUCGCUUCAGCAGCACAUACACUAUUAAUAAAAUUGUAAUAAUACAGAGAAGAUUAUCAAAGCCCCUACACAAGAAUGACAUGCAAAUUCGUGAAGUAUUCCAUAUUUUU
This 113-nucleotide small nuclear RNA is filed under the name Microcebus murinus (gray mouse lemur). The record is from RNAcentral. Lineage: Eukaryota; Metazoa; Chordata; Mammalia; Primates; Cheirogaleidae.